GUCCCAUCAAGGUUUAUUAUUAAAUAAACUCUCUUAGCCUUUAAUUAAACACACUUUAAAUUAAACAAACCUUUUAAUCCAAAUCACAAUUAAAUAAACUAAGAUAUCCACCUAAACUUGCUUAACUUAAACUAAGAACACUUAGAGCAUAAUUAACCGUCUAAUCAAGAUUUAGUGAGCUAAACUCACUGGAUUAGCGAGCCGAACGGACCAAAACAACGGGGACGACGCGAGGAUCGACUUUCCUCAAAGCGGGCUAAGCAUCCGGGCUCGGGAGGGCGGCCAAAACGGGCCAAGAAGGGGCUGCAAUACCCAUUUUCUGGGUUGCUGAUCGGGGCCAAGAGGGAGCAGAUCCGGCGCCGGUUCGGGCGGCCAAGGGCGGCGGAGGCAAGGCAAAGCUCCGGCGGGCUAAGGCGAGGGCGCACGACGGCUCACGGUGGCUGAUCCGUGACCUAGGCUGGUCGGACAGCCUCCCAAACGUGAAGACGAGCGAGGACGACGGCGAACGAGGGAAGAGCAGCAGCGCGACGGCAGCGAGCGGCGAGCUCCGGUGACGGGCGACGAGCGGCGAAGGAGGCGGACGGCGAGGGGCUG
This 594-nucleotide long non-coding RNA is filed under the name Eucalyptus grandis. RNAcentral describes it as "long non-coding RNA (EGRA_LNC007560)". Lineage: Eukaryota; Viridiplantae; Streptophyta; Magnoliopsida; Myrtales; Myrtaceae. The record is from RNAcentral.